RNA transcript from Nothobranchius furzeri (turquoise killifish), 3514 nucleotides. It is a transcript of the gene named sorting nexin-5, with no coding region annotated. The record is from RefSeq and is a predicted model, not a curated record. NCBI's taxonomy places the organism in Eukaryota, Metazoa, Chordata, Actinopteri, Cyprinodontiformes, Nothobranchiidae.
UAGCAGGCUUCAGCAGGGUUUGAGCAACCACUGGAUCAGGUGAUCCGAAGCAGGGAAACCACUAAAACAUCCCGGAUGGGAGCUCUCGUGGACCAGAGUUGCCUACUCCUGCUUAAGAAGAACUAAUUAAACCUGAAGGAAACCGCCCAAUUCACAACGCAGACGACUUCAUUAGGUCAUGAGUGUUUCCCUGCACCAGCACUUUACAGUUCUACUCAUCUCACGUCUCUCGGGGCCGUUGUGCACUUUGACCCAGAGGACAUCCUGUUCCUCUUCAGCAGCUGUAGCCCGAGCAGUUGGAAAACUUCUCCCAAGCUUGGCAGUUCUACUGAGAUAAAAGAAGACAGAGGGGUUUUACAGAGCCCGACUCAAACGAUGAUGGAAGAGGUAAAGGACGUGUCUGCAGGGAGCGUCCAUGGGGACACCAUCAAAGUUACGGAGGUCCUGCAAGACGGGGACACUCUUACCUUCAUAAUCGUGUCUCAAAAGCUCUCUGGGACAGGGGAGUACCACGUGGACCGCACCUAUGAUGACUUUGAGUGGCUCCAGCAGCACCUGUACACUCAGGAGGAUGUGCCCGGGAUUCAGGGAGUCAUCUUUCCUCCUCUUCCAGUAAGGCCUCAGGUGAACGCAUCUGCCAAAGUUAUGAAACAGCUGGGCUUCCUGGCUUUAGGAGAGUGGCAGCCCUACUGCAGGGCGCUGGAAACAUUUCUGCAGCAGGUUGUUGCACACCGCCUACUCAGCAAAAAUCAGGCCUUGGAGCUCUUCCUGACCAGUGCAGAUCCUCCAGGGAGACAGAAGAUAAAGAAAAACCUUUUUAAUCGACUGAGUCAAGCCAUGGAGGAGAUGAGGAAGGAAGGCCACAAGGAUGUGGACGAGUUCUUUCAAACUGUACGGGAUCAGAACCUUCAGCUGACCGGCUCCUCCAGGACAGCAGCUGAGAAAUUCCUAGAUGUGGUGCUAACGGAGCAAAAAAUCGCCGUGGCCUGUGGACACUUCUCAGCUGCUCUGCAUCUCUGUGUGGAGCCUGGACAGGAUCCUGAUCAUAAAGCUUUCUCCAGGGUUUGUGUGAAACUAUCAGAAGUGUUUGAUUCUAUGAGAAAAAGUAUGAUGAGUUUCUCUCUGAACGACUUGAACACUCUGGGCCUCGGCCUGGACCUGGAGUCUCGUCACCUGGAAGCAGAAAAGGAGAUGCUGUUCAGGAGAACCUGUAAGCUGGUGGAGUUGGAGAGCGCCAGGAGGAAUGCGGAUAGAGCCAAACCUGUGAGGAAAGCUGCUAUGGAAGAGGUGAAGAAGGCAUCAGAAACAGAGUUUGAGCAGAUUUGUGAAGUGGCAAAACAAGAGCCGCUUUCAGCGCGUCCGUGUGGAAACGCUGCAGAAGAGUCUGAUUCAGUGGUGUGAAAAGCAACUUCUUACAGCCAGAGAAAGCGCUGAUGUGUUCAGCAACCACCUUGAAGCCUUCAAAGCCAUGACCUAAUGACCUCAGUGGAGCCAGCUGAAGGAGGAGAAUGAGUCAGCUGAAGAUAAACAACUGAUCGUCCAACACGAGAGAGAUUAAACUUGUACGAAGGUCUAACUGGAGGACAGCAACACCACAGAGAAAGAACAUUAUGUUUUUCCUUCACAUGCUGGAAAAAUGACAAUUGAAACAACAAAUCCUAAUAAUAUUGACCUUCAGCCUAAUUUUUUUCAUCAUUUAUUAAUUUUAAACACUUAAAGGUGUGGUUCACUUGUUUAAUCAAUACCCAUGCAGUAGUCUCUAGUAGGAGUGAAUGGAUGUCAUUUUCUGGGGAGUAAAAGUUCUGGGGCCUCAUUUAUCAAGCUUGCUUACGCACAAAACGGGGUCGGAAAACUGCGUAAGCAACUUUCCACACAAACUUUGGGAUUUAUGAAAGAAAACUUAGCGGAAAAAUGUGCGCAACAUUAAGUUGACUAAGGAUCUGGCUUACGCACAUGCUGGACAUGGAGAGCACCUGCAGUGCUGCUGCUGAGGAGGAUAAAAUGAUGAAAUCCUGCAGCAUUAUCACUUGUACUGCUUCGUUUUCACACACAGAACAAGACCCCCCCCCCACACACACACACACACACACAUGCGCUCACACACACACGCGUGUGCACACACACACACACACACACACGCGCGCACACUCACACACACACACACACACGCACGCACGCACGCACGCGCGCGCACACACACACACACACACACACACACACACGCGCACACUCACACACGCGCGCGCGCACACACACAAACACACACACACACACACACACACACGCGCACACUCACUCACGCGCGCGCGCACACACACAAACACACAGCCUGAAGCGCCGAAUAUGGAAUGCAGAAUAUCAGCAGGGGGACAGAUUGAGAGAGAAUGUCAUGUGUCUGUGACAGCGUGUGUGUCCUGUCACUGUGACCCGAUUGAUCAUGCGCCCUGGCUACUUGGACAGGGGAGAUCUCUGUUUGGCUGAUUGAUUAGCGCGUUACUUUCACCUGGGAGUCUGGUGAUCAAAUCCCGAUUGGACCAUUUUUUUAUAUCCACCACAGAUCUCUCUGAAGAAUUCACAACAUUGACGGCUUCAGCAACGGUGUGCCACUCCGUGGAUUUUCUCCUAUUUCUUUUGCAAAAGUACUUCCUUUCAUUUCUCCUCCUCACCCACAGGUACCUCAAUUUCUGCUUCUGUGAAAUUGCGCUUCCUUGAUCUACCUUGAUCUACGGUCGCCAUGUCAUCAGCGGAGCGCUGCAACAGCCGGCUUAUGUAUAUGCAUGAGAUCCACAAGGCACUUUGCAUUGACUGUUUAAGGCGGUAAGUGGGUGUGGUGAGGGCGGGAUGUGACUAAAAUGCAGCUGAGAAACAUUCUAGAUAGUCUCCAAUUCAUGAAACGGAGAUUGCGUGCAGCUGUGCGUACUCCAUGUUUGAUAGAUCACAAACCUACUUGGCGUAAGUACUUUUUUUUUUUUGCUGAGCUUCAGUACGGUUUUAGUUUGGAUUCUACACAAUGUUUGAUAAAUGAGACCUCUGAUGCGCCUGUUUUAGGAACUAGAAGCGAGUCACAUCAGAGCUGAGCGUUAGACAGAAGGACCUUUGUACUUAUAACUUUAUAUGACAGCUUUAUAAUCAGCUGUCAUAACUCACAGUGACUGAUUAUAAUCAGAGAUAACUAAAUGCUUUUCAGUGAACCACACCUUUAAUAGGAAGAAAACACUUGUUUUGCUCAUGCACAUGAAAAAUAUUUUAUUGCUUUUUAUAAUUUCUAUUAAAGAAGCAAAUAUAAAAAUGGCCUUUUAUGAAUUGUUACGCAACAUGUAAAGUUUUAAUCUGCAUAAACACAAGAAGCAGCAUCUCUGACUGGAAAGUCAGCUGAUCUUAUUUUACAUUUUUGAUCUCAAGCUUGAAAAAAAUCCACAAGUGUAAUUAUUAUCUUCCAGUUUUGUUCCUGGAGGAAGAAGCAAAUAAUGAACCUGAUAAACGAACAAAAGAAAUAAAUCAUGUUCUUCUUUGA